GGUUUUAUUCGAAGCAACGCGAAGAACCUUACCAGGUCUUGACAUCCUUUGACCACUCUGGAGACAGAGCUUUCCCGUCGGGGACAAAGUGACAGGUGGUGCAUGGUUGUCGUCAGCUCGUGUCGUGAGAUGUUGGGUUAAGUCCCGCAACGAGCGCAACCCUUGAUUUUAGUUGCCAGCAUUUAGUUGAGCACUCUAAAGUGA
Molecule: ribosomal RNA, 204 nt
Filed under: Listeria monocytogenes
Lineage: Bacteria; Bacillati; Bacillota; Bacilli; Caryophanales; Listeriaceae
Description: partial 16S ribosomal RNA
Rfam family: Bacterial small subunit ribosomal RNA
Source: RNAcentral